GUCUACUAAUUAUAGACCUGUAUGAAAGGCAAAAUGAGGGCCUAACUGUCUCUUAUAAUCAAUCAAUUAAACUGAUCUCCCAGUAAAAAAGCUGGGAUAACCCCAUAAGACCAGAAGACCCUGUGAAGCUUAAACUAAACUAUUAAAUCUAAUAAUAGAUACUUUCGGUUGGGGCGACCUUGGAAAAAAAAAGAACUUCCAAACACAUAAUUUCCCACACUAACAGGCCUACAAGCCACAAAUACGACCCAGCAAAGCUGAUUAAUGAACCAAGUUACUCCAGGGAUAACAGCGCAAUCUUCUUCAAGAGCCCAUAUCAAAAAGAAGGUUUACGACCUCGAUGUUGGAUCAGGACAUCCUAAUGGCGCA
RNAcentral lists this ribosomal RNA (369 nucleotides) under Rhinobothryum lentiginosum. RNAcentral describes it as "partial 16S ribosomal RNA". It matches the Rfam family "Bacterial large subunit ribosomal RNA", at positions 1971 to 2557 of the family's 2925-position model. The record is from RNAcentral. Lineage: Eukaryota; Metazoa; Chordata; Lepidosauria; Squamata; Colubridae.